ACGCGCGCGGCUGCGCUGCAUGGGAGAAUCCAAAUAAGUAUCAAGUCCAAUAAAGGACUUUCAUGGUUAAUAAAAUGUGACCUGAGGGCUGCCGACUUGCCGCCUAGCGAGGGCGCACCCCCUCCGAUUAACCGGGCAGCAACCUUAAUGGACUGUAAUCAGCCCGUAGGAGAUCUGGAUUCGCGCCAGUGCAGUAGCGUCCGGGUGGAGAGUGUUCGAUGCGUUU
Molecule: unclassified non-coding RNA, 226 nt
Filed under: Hevea brasiliensis (rubber tree)
Lineage: Eukaryota; Viridiplantae; Streptophyta; Magnoliopsida; Malpighiales; Euphorbiaceae
Source: RNAcentral